CAAAUGAUUCCAACAGUAGGUCCGUGAACGGCUCAUUAAAUCAGCGAUUAUCUACCCAGUUCUGCGGGGCUUGCCCCGUCACACGGAUACCGAUACUAACUGUAUCGCUAAUACGUGUAUGAGAACUGCUCUCUCGUCCAACACACUGCCCACGUUUCUGGAUGCGUAGAUUGACUGUGCUCUUUCGGUCGUUGCAUGUUUUCUUCUCGAAGAGGAUGUGCGGCUUGUACUGGAACUGUGCGGGAGAUUUCGUUAUUCGAAGCGAUACCAAAUGGGUGGUGUGGAGGGAGCAGGCAGUUGACCGGCACCAAAACUAACGCCACCAGUUCCAACCAAGCUUCGGCAAGGAGUACUGGUUACAAUGGCAGCGAAACGUGCUUUUACGCACCUCUCGAUGAACCAGGUCAACCACGUUAAAGCGCAUCAGGCCCUGUGCCUGGCGCGGAACUGGACGAAUUUCUGCCUUAUCAGCUAUGAUGACUGUGCAGUGAACAGUCAUGGUAUUAACGAGUACGGGGAAUUAGGGUUCGACUCCGGAGAGGGCGCCUGAGAAACGGCGACCAGAUCUAAGGAUUGCAGCAGGCACGCAAAUUGCCCAAUGGCAGCACGUUGUUGAGGCAGUGACGAGAAAUAACAACACCGGCAGAUUACAUAUCGGCCGGUGAUUGUAAUGGACGGUACCCAAAGCCACUGAUGAGUACCCACUGGAGGGCAAGUCUGGUGCCAGCAGCCGCGGUAAUUCCAGCUCCAGUAGCAUACACUAAUUUUGUUGCGGUUAAAAAGCUCGUAGUGGAUUCGGAGCUGUGAUGCAGUUUUGGUCGGCGCUAGCUCGCAGGAGCUGUGUCGCACAACCUCCUGCACUCGAUCCUGGCUCUAUCACACGGGAUUGGUUGCCCCGUCCGCUGUGGGCUUCGGUCUGCAGUUGACAUUUCCGGGCCGUCCGUGGUUGUUACCGUGAACAAAACAGCGUGUUCAAAACAGGCGGGGCUUGCCUCUUGCCUGAAUGAUCUAGCAUGGGAUGACAGGGGAGUGACCUCUUGGCUGCUCUUCUCAGUUUGUUGGUUUUGACAGCCGAACAGGGUAACGUAAGACAGGCGUGCCGUGCGGUUGGUCCUUUUUCUCUGUCUUGUAUUUGCAUGUCCUACCUUUGCGGUCUCUUUCAUUUCGAGGGCUUGUGUUGUGACUCUUACCAGUUGUGACGCCGGUCUUUUGAUUUGGAGGGGGUUUUGUGAGGGUGGUGGUGUGUGGGUGCAGUGUGGGGAGAUAGUUUCCAGCCGCGCGGCCCCUGUCUCCAUCCAGGAUAAAUCGGGGCACACGGUGAGAUACGUAUUGUGGCGCUAGUGGUGAAAUACUUAGACCGUCACAAGACGAACAUCUGCGAAAGCAUUUCUCAAGCAUGCCUUCUUCAAUCAAGAGCGAUAGCAUGGGGAUCUAAGAUGAUCAGAUACCGUUGUAGUCCAUGCUGUAAACGCUGCCAGCGAGGCUUCGGACGUCAGAUCUGGCAUCCCGACUCGUCCGGCGCCGUCCCCCAUAACGAGAAAUCCAAGCCUGGGUUCCGGGGGGAGUACGUCCGCAAGGCCGAAACUUAAAGGAAUUGACGGAAUGGCACCACAAGGCGUGGAGUGUGCGGCUUAAUUUGACUCAACACGGGAAACCUCGCCAGGUCCGGACUCACUGAGGAUUGACAGAUUGAGAGCUCUUUCUUGAUCGUGAGGGUGGUGGUGCAUGGCCGUGCUGGGUUGGUGGAGUGAUUUGUCUGCUUAAUUGCGAUAACGAACGAGAUCACAACCUCUCACUCGGGCUCUGCUUCGCAUUUAGGUAGGGGUGGUUCUGUGCCUGCUCCUUGUGGGUGGGUGCUGAACCGAUUUUACGCCCCGAGAGGCAGGGACUUCAAGCCUUAGAGGGACUGGCGGUGCCCCCUCAACCCCCGGAAGAAUGUGCCUUUCACAGGUCUGUGAUGCUCCGCAAUGUUCUGGACUGCACGCGCACUACACUGGCAUAGUCAACGAGCGACCGACCGCAUUCUUGCGGUUCCUAAUUGGAAGCGAUUUGGAAAUCUUUGUAAACUGUGUCGUGACCGGGGAUAGGUGAUUGCAAUUAUUCGUCCUGAACGAGGAAUGCCCAGUAAGGGCGAGUCAUCAGCUCGCCCUGAUUGCGUCCCUGGCAUUUGUACACACCGCCCGUCGUUGUCGUCGAUUGGCUGUAGCAUAGAGGCGUUGAGAGGCUACGGUUGGGAGUUCGCUCCCUUCUGUCCCGCAAGGGGUUGGCCAAACUUCUCCAAUAUGCCACAGCUAGAGACGAUAAAAGUCGUAACAAGGUAGCUGUAGGUG
Molecule: ribosomal RNA, 2330 nt
Filed under: Serpenomonas costata
Lineage: Eukaryota; Euglenozoa; Stavomonadea; Heterostavida; Serpenomonadidae
Description: partial small subunit ribosomal RNA
Rfam family: Eukaryotic small subunit ribosomal RNA
Source: RNAcentral